This 144-nucleotide ribosomal RNA is filed under the name uncultured fungus. RNAcentral describes it as "5.8S ribosomal RNA". It matches the Rfam family "5.8S ribosomal RNA". From Rfam's summary of the family: 5.8S ribosomal RNA (5.8S rRNA) is a component of the large subunit of the eukaryotic ribosome. It is transcribed by RNA polymerase I as part of the 45S precursor that also contains 18S and 28S rRNA. Functionally, it is thought that 5.8S rRNA may be involved in ribosome translocation. Lineage: Eukaryota; Fungi. The record is from RNAcentral.
NAACUUUUAAACAACGGAUCUCUUGGCUCCGCAUCCGAUGAAGACGCAGCAAAUGCGAUCCGUAAUGUGAAUGCGAAUUCGGAAUUCAUUGAAAUCUUUGAACGCACCUUGCGGCCCCUGGUACGAAGGGCACCCCCUUUGAGG